This is a long non-coding RNA of Ipomoea nil (Japanese morning glory), 354 nucleotides long. RefSeq lists it as uncharacterized. Lineage: Eukaryota; Viridiplantae; Streptophyta; Magnoliopsida; Solanales; Convolvulaceae. The transcript has 2 exons. The record is from RefSeq and is a predicted model, not a curated record.
UUGUUUGGUGCAGAACUGUAAAAUUCACCAUUCUGUGGUUGGACUUAGAUCAUGCAUAUCAGAGGGAGCAAUUAUACAUUAAUGAUGGGAGCAGAUUACUAUGAGUGAAAAUGUUCAAGAAGCAGCUAGGGAAACUGAAGGAUAUUUCACUAAAAGUGGAAUCGUCACAAUCAUCAAGGAUGCAUUGAUUCCUAGUGGAACCAUCAUGUAGAAGUAUUUGAAAAUCAUGUGUACAUGAUUACUGUAGUGUAGCCGUUAGAGAGACUAAUGAUGCAUCUUGUUAAACCUUUUGUUUUAGUUUUGAAAUUUUAAAUAAUAAAGCAUUAUUGUCAUCUCUAUGCUGCUUUUUUCCCA